CCUACGGGAGGCAGCAGUAAGGAAUAUUGGUCAAUGGACGAAAGUCUGAACCAGCCAUGCCGCGUGAAGGAUGAAGGUCCUCUGGAUUGUAAACUUCUUUUAUCUGGGACGAAAAAAGGGCUUUCUAGCUCACUUGACGGUACCAGAGGAAUAAGCACCGGCUAACUCCGUGCCAGCAGCCGCGGUAAUACGGAGGGUGCAAGCGUUAUCCGGAUUUACUGGGUUUAAAGGGUGCGUAGGUGGGCAAUUAAGUCAGUGGUGAAAUCUCUGGGCUUAACCCGGAAACUGCCAUUGAUACUAUUUGUCUUGAAUAUCCUGGAGGUAAGCGGAAUAUGUCAUGUAGCGGUGAAAUGCUUAGAUAUGACAUAGAACACCCAUUGCGAAGGCAGCUUACUACAGGAUUAUUGACACUGAGGCACGAAAGCGUGGGGAUCAAACAGGAUUAGAUACCCUGGUAGUCCACGCCCUAAACGAUGGAUACUCGACAUCAGCGAUACACUGUUGGUGUCUGAGCGAAAGCAUUAAGUAUCCCACCUGGAAGUACGACCGCAAGGUUGAACUCAAAUGAAUUGACGGCGNGAGACGAGACGAGACGACGACGAGGGAGGAGG
Molecule: ribosomal RNA, 611 nt
Filed under: uncultured bacterium
Lineage: Bacteria
Description: bacterial SSU rRNA
Rfam family: Bacterial small subunit ribosomal RNA
Source: RNAcentral